RNAcentral lists this ribosomal RNA (253 nucleotides) under uncultured bacterium. Its description in RNAcentral is "partial 16S ribosomal RNA". It matches the Rfam family "Bacterial small subunit ribosomal RNA", at positions 524 to 776 of the family's 1533-position model. The record is from RNAcentral.
UACGUAGGAUGCAAGCGUUGUCCGGAAUUAUUGGGCGUAAAGCGAACGUAGGCGGUUACUUAAGUUUGGUCUUAAAGACCGGGGCUCAACUCCGGGAAUGGACUGAAUACUGGGUGACUAGAGGAUGUCAGAGGAAGGUGGAAUUCCAAGUGUAGCGGUGAAAUGCGUAGAUAUUUGGAGGAACACCAGUGGCGAAAGCGGCUUUCUGGGACAUUCCUGACGCUGAGGUUCGAAAGCUCGGGGAGCAAACAGG